Molecule: ribosomal RNA, 593 nt
Filed under: Labeo parvus
Lineage: Eukaryota; Metazoa; Chordata; Actinopteri; Cypriniformes; Cyprinidae
Description: partial 16S ribosomal RNA
Rfam family: Bacterial large subunit ribosomal RNA
Source: RNAcentral
AAACAUCGCCUCCUGCAACACAAUCCUGUAUAGGAGGUCCAGCCUGCCCAGUGACUACAAGUUCAACGGCCGCGGUAUUUUAACCGUGCAAAGGUAGCGCAAUCACUUGUCUUUUAAAUAGAGACCUGUAUGAAUGGCUAAACGAGGGCUUAACUGUCUCCCUUUUCCAGUCAGUGAAAUUGAUCUGCCCGUGCAGAAGCGGGCAUAAAAAUACAAGACGAGAAGACCCUUUGGAGCUUAAGGUACAAAACUCAACCACGUCAAGCAACUCAAUAAAAAGCAAUAAACCUUGUGGAAUAUGAGAUUUUACCUUCGGUUGGGGCGACCACGGAGGAAAAUAAAGCCUCCAAGUGGAUUGGGAAAAUCCUCCUAAAACCAAGAGAGACAUCUCUAAGCCACAGAACAUCUGACCAAACAUGAUCCGGCUACCCAAAGCCGAUCAACGAACCAAGUUACCCUAGGGAUAACAGCGCAAUCCCCUCCCAGAGUCCAUAUCGACGAGGGGGUUUACGACCUCGAUGUUGGAUCAGGACAUCCUAAUGGUGCAGCCGCUAUUAAGGGUUCGUUUGUUCAACGAUUAAAGUCCUACGUGA